CAGCAGCCGCGGGAAUACGUAGGUGGCAAGCGUUGUCCGGAAUUAUUGGGCGUAAAGGGCUCGCAGGCGGUUUCUUAAGUCUGAUGUGAAAGCCCCCGGCUCAACCGGGGAGGGUCAUUGGAAACUGGGAAACUUGAGUGCAGAGGAGGAGAGUGGAAUUCCACGUGUAGCGGUGAAAUGCGUAGAGAUGUGGAGGAACACCAGUGGCGAAGGCGACUCUCUGGUCUGUAACUGACGCUGAGGAGCGAAAGCGUGGGGAGCGAACAGGAUUAGAUACCCGCGUAGUCCUUGUCUCUUAUAC
Molecule: ribosomal RNA, 301 nt
Filed under: uncultured bacterium
Lineage: Bacteria
Description: partial 16S ribosomal RNA
Rfam family: Bacterial small subunit ribosomal RNA
Source: RNAcentral